UGGGGAAUAUUGCACAAUGGGCGCAAGCCUGAUGCAGCCAUGCCGCGUGUAUGAAGAAGGCCUUCGGGUUGUAAAGUACUUUCAGUCGGGAGGAAGGUGGUAAGGUUAAUAACCUUAUCAAUUGACGUUACCGACAGAAGAAGCACCGGCUAACUCCGUGCCAGCAGCCGCGGUAAUACGGAGGGUGCAAGCGUUAAUCGGAAUUACUGGGUGUAAAGCGCACGCAGGCGGUUGAUUGAGUCAGAUGUGAAAUCCCCGGGCUUAACCCGGGAAUUGCAUCUGAUACUGGUCAGCUAGAGUCUUGUAGAGGGGGGUAGAAUUCCAUGUGUAGCGGUGAAAUGCGUAGAGAUGUGGAGGAAUACCGGUGGCGAAGGCGGCCCCCUGGACAAAGACUGACGCUCAGGUGCGAAAGCGUGGGGAGCAAACAGG
Molecule: ribosomal RNA, 429 nt
Filed under: Chloroflexota bacterium
Lineage: Bacteria; Bacillati; Chloroflexota
Description: Chloroflexi bacterium partial 16S ribosomal RNA
Rfam family: Bacterial small subunit ribosomal RNA
Source: RNAcentral